RNAcentral lists this long non-coding RNA (1048 nucleotides) under Coffea arabica (coffee). RNAcentral describes it as "long non-coding RNA (CARA_LNC001700)". The record is from RNAcentral. Lineage: Eukaryota; Viridiplantae; Streptophyta; Magnoliopsida; Gentianales; Rubiaceae.
GUCCGAGUGUGGUGGCAUGCCUAGUACGAGAUCUGGUUCAGGACAUGUAGGAUAGCAGUUCACAGCCAUGACUUGGGAUCCUUCAUCAAUGCCCUCAUGUAAGUACUUAGGGCUUAGCCCUAAGUUCUCAAAUACAACUCCCAUCAACUUUCUAUGCAAUGCAUGCACGGCUUGCGUAUAGUUUCCCAUUUUUUCCCUACAAAAUGGCAAAACAUGAUGUUAUGUUAUAGGUUAAAGAAUUAGGUAUUUAAUUAGCUUUAUUGAUGCUUUGCAAAGCUUCUUUCAAGUGGCCCUAAAUCUACUUACUUGUAGGUUUUUGGAUUUGAUGGCCAUUGGUCGAUCCAAGUUGAAAUCGGAUGAGAGUAAUGUUUGAUGAAGUCUCUCCAAAAGAGAACCCUAUCCUCAACAUGAUUCAGACUGGUUCCAUAUCUAACAGGUUCGCGGAUAUUGGCUGAUGCAAGUGACAUCUUCUCUUCGUGUGGCAACUCAAAGAAGUCAGUUGCAGCGUCUAGGGCAUCAUUCAUGACUGAAAGAGGUAUCCCAUGAUUAAUGACCUGCAAAACAUACGAGUCAUUAAUUGUUGCAUUACCGUGGCAUAUGCAUGCAUGCCAAUCCUAUGCCAAUGGAAAUUGCUAUUCUGCCUAGCUUCUUUUUGUUGCUCAACAGCUUCGAGCUUUUUGCUCCAGGUUUUUGCAUUAUUGCAAAAACCAGGUAAAUAUUUCGAUGAAACACAGAAAUCAUGCGGGAUCUUAGUUAAUGGCAGUGAAUGGUGCUACUCAUGCAUGUCACAAGGAACAUGAAUUCCUGCAUGUUCGUUGCAUGACCACUCCAAUACGUUAUACCAUUGAGGUUGGUAAAUCAUUAGCAAAAUCAACAAAAAUCUGAAAAUAUGAAAUAUAUGUCCGUACAUGCAUGGUGUUCUCAGAAACUUCUUGUCUUUCUCUUCAGGAAAAAUCAUGCGAUUCUUGUGCAUGCAAGAGACAGGAUUAACGGCCUAUAAUGUAUACCUGGAAAAAUCCUGAGUCCUUGCAUGCCAGGCGUACUUCCU